AGUGAACGCUGGCGGCGUGCCUAAUACGUGCAAGUCGAACGGAAUUUAAAAGAGCUUGCUCUUUUAAAUUUAGUGGCGCACGGGUGAGUAAUAUAUAGCUAAUCUGCCCCUUGCUGGAGGACAACAGUUAGAAAUGACUGCUAAUACUCCAUACUCCUUUUUACCAUAAGAUAAAUCGGGAAAGAAUUUCGGCAAGGGAUGAGACUAUAUCGUAUCAGCUAGUCGGUGGGGUAACGGCCUACCGAGGCUAUGACGCGUAACUGGUCUGAGAGGAUGAUCAGUCACAUUGGAACUGAGACACGGUCCAAAUUCCUACGGGAGGCAGCAGUAGGGAAUAUUGCGCAAUGGGGGAAACCCUGACGCAGCAACGCCGCGUGGAGGAUGACACUUUUCGGAGCGUAAAUUCCUUUUGUUAGGGAAGAAUAA
Molecule: ribosomal RNA, 426 nt
Filed under: Campylobacter gracilis
Lineage: Bacteria; Pseudomonadati; Campylobacterota; Epsilonproteobacteria; Campylobacterales; Campylobacteraceae
Description: bacterial SSU rRNA
Rfam family: Bacterial small subunit ribosomal RNA
Source: RNAcentral